Molecule: ribosomal RNA, 684 nt
Filed under: Triticum aestivum (bread wheat)
Lineage: Eukaryota; Viridiplantae; Streptophyta; Magnoliopsida; Poales; Poaceae
Description: partial small subunit ribosomal RNA
Source: RNAcentral
AUGCGGUGCGACGGCGAUGAGCGGCUGAUGCUGGGCAUCUACGUUGACGACCUCAUCGUCACUGCGUCAAGUCUGGAGGCCAUUGUUCAGUUCAAACAGCAGAUGAAGUCUGUCUUCUCCAUGAGUGACCUCGGCUUGCUAAGCUACUAUCUCGGCAUCGAAGUGCACCAGGGAGACGAUGCGAUCACCCUCAAGCAGGCGAACUAUGCAGCCAAGAUCGUGGAGAAGGCUGGGCUGACAGACUGCAAUCCUGUGCAUAUCCCGAUGGAGCCGCGCCUGAAACUGAGCAAGGAGAGCACGAACCCGCCGGUGGACAGAAAGCUCUACCGCAGCAUCGUGGGCAACCUUCGUUACUUGGUGCAUUCGCGACCAGACAUCUCCUACGCGGUUGGUUUCGUCAGCAGAUUCAUGGAGGCGCCCACGACAGAGCACUGGGUGGCGGUGAAACAGCUGCUGAGGUAUGCUCCAGGCACCCUGAACUUUGGGUGCAGAUACAAGAGAGGAGAAGCAGAGCCGCGGCUGGUCGGGUACAGUGACGCGGACUUCGCCGGAGAUGUUGAUGACAGGAAGAGCACAUCCGGGACGGUGUUUGUUUUUGGGGGGAGCGUGAUCAGCUGCAGUCCCAGAAGCAGAAGGUGGUCGCUCUCUCAUCCUGUGAAGCCGAGUACAUGGCGGCUACUGUAG